UCCGGUUGAUCCUGCCAGAGGUNACUGCUAUCGAGGUUCGACUAAGCCAUGCGAGUCGAAUGUAGCAAUACAUGGCGUACUGCUCAGUAACACGUGGACAACCUACCCUGAGGCCGGGGAUAAACCCGGGAAACUGGGUAUAAUACCCGAUAGAUCUAGAAUGCUGGAAUGCUUUUAGAUCUAAAGUUCCGACGCCUCAGGAUGGGUCUGCGGCCUAUCAGGGUAGUAGUAGGUGUAACGUACCUACUAGCCUACGACGGGUAAGGGUUGUGAGAGCAAGAGCCCGGAGAUGGAUUCUGAGACACGAAUCCAGGCCCUACGGGGUGCAGCAGGCGCGAAACCUUUACAAUGCUGGCAACAGCGAUAAGGGGACCUCGAGUGCCACGAUACAAUCGUGGCUGUCUAGUUGCCUAAAAAGCAAUUGAUAGCAAGGGCCGGGCAAGACCGGUGCCAGCCGCCGCGGUAACACCGGCGGCUCGAGUGGUAACCGCUAUUAUUGGUCUAAAGGGUCUGUAGCCGGCUUAGUCAGUCUUUUGAGAAAUCUGGCCGCUCAACGGUCAGGCGUUCAGGGGAUACUGCUAAGGCUCGAGACCGGGAGAGGUGAGAGGUACUUCAGGGGUAGGGGUGAAAUCUUGUAAUCCUUGAAGGACCACCAGUGGCGAAGGCGUCUCACCAGAACGGAUCUGACGGCAAGGGACGAAAGCUAGGGGCACGAACCGGAUUAGAUACCCGGGUAGUCCUAGCCGUAAACGAUACUCGCUAGGUGUCGGCCACGGUGCGACCGUGG
This 787-nucleotide ribosomal RNA is filed under the name uncultured Methanotrichaceae archaeon. Its description in RNAcentral is "bacterial SSU rRNA". It matches the Rfam family "Archaeal small subunit ribosomal RNA", at positions 1 to 794 of the family's 1478-position model. Lineage: Archaea; Methanobacteriati; Methanobacteriota; Methanomicrobia; Methanotrichales; Methanotrichaceae. The record is from RNAcentral.